UACGUAGGGGGCGAGCGUUGUCCGGAAUUACUGGGUGUAAAGGGCGUGUAGGCGGGGUAUUAAGUCGGAUGUGAAAUACCGGAGCUCAACUCCGGGGCUGCAUCCGAAACUAAUACUCUUGAGUGCAGGAGAGGAGAGCGGAAUUCCCAGUGUAGCGGUGAAAUGCGUAGAUAUUGGGAGGAACACCAGUGGCGAAGGCGGCUCUCUGGACUGUAACUGACGCUGAGGCGCGAAAGCGUGGGGAGCAAACAGG
Molecule: ribosomal RNA, 253 nt
Filed under: uncultured bacterium
Lineage: Bacteria
Description: partial 16S ribosomal RNA
Rfam family: Bacterial small subunit ribosomal RNA
Source: RNAcentral